This is a long non-coding RNA of Lolium rigidum, 235 nucleotides long. RefSeq lists it as uncharacterized. The record is from RefSeq and is a predicted model, not a curated record. The transcript has 3 exons. NCBI's taxonomy places the organism in Eukaryota, Viridiplantae, Streptophyta, Magnoliopsida, Poales, Poaceae.
GAUCGUCGACGACAUGUUCGACAAGGUCGAGCUGAAGCUCCGGGUCUACGGCUCCCCGUCGGUGGUGAAAUACCCCCGCUGCAGCCUCAAGCGGCAAUCGGCGUACGCGGACGCCGAGGACAGGAGGACAACUCGUUGAUUAUGGCACUGUCGAGCAUCUGGAUGCUGCUGCUCCUGUUUGGUACCUCCGCUUUGUUGCUCCCAACCUUCCACACUCUGAGCCGGGCGUUUGGGG